Molecule: ribosomal RNA, 397 nt
Filed under: uncultured bacterium
Lineage: Bacteria
Description: partial 16S ribosomal RNA
Rfam family: Bacterial small subunit ribosomal RNA
Source: RNAcentral
AUACGUAGGGGGCGAGCGUUGUCCGGAAUGAUUGGGCGUAAAGGGCGCGUAGGCGGCCCGGUAAGUCUGGAGUGAAAGUCCUGUUUUUAAGAUGGGAAUUGCUUUGGAUACUGUCGGGCUUGAGUGCGGGAGAGGUAAGUGGAAUUCCCGGUGUAGCGGUGAAAUGCGUAGAGAUUGGGAGGAACACCAGUGGGGAAGGCGACUUACUGGACUGUAACUGACGCUGAGGCGCGAAAGUGUGGGGAGCAAACAGGAUUAGAUACCCUGGUAGUCCACACUGUAAACGAUGAAUGCUAGGUGUAGGGGGUAUCGACCCCUUCUGUGCCGCAGUCAACACAAUAAGCAUUCCGCCUGGGGAGUACGGCCGCAAGGUUGAAACUCAAAUGAAUUGGCGGGG